GUUCAUGCCUGAUUGUAUGCAGAAGCCAGAGGGGCUUCCAUCCAUACCUGAUGUGGUGCUACACAAGUGUAACCAAAAUAAGUUGCCACCGGACCCACAGGGUCUCGGCUCCAGAGACUCAAAUAUCUCAAAUAUUCCAGCAGGAACUGGAAGCAGCUGUUUCAGUUUUUAUGAUGAUUGACUUUUCCAGGCCAGUAAUCGUGAGAGGCUUCAGGACGAGCUGGAGGAGGCGAAAAAACAAAGCUCGCAGAAAAACCAGGGGUAACGUCAAGUUCAUCGGGGAGCUGUUAAAGUUGCGGAUGUUGACCGAGUCCAUCAUUCAUAACUGCGUGGUAAAACUGCUGAAACAAAAUGACGAGGAAAGUCUCGAGUGCCUCUCUAUUCUCCUCACCACCGCCGGCUAAGAGAUGGACUUUAAGAAGGCCAAGUUACCAGCAGAUGAUAAGAUUUAUUUGGGACGAAUUUCAGGGGACGACGGCUGAACUGGAAGAACGGCUGCGAUGGAGAAACUAGCGCUAGAGCCACAUCCGGAGCAUCAGUAAAACUCGACGCAGUGCCAGACUCGACUACAAACAAGCUGCGCUAUCAGAGGAGGAAAUGGAGAAACGCUCUAAAUCCAUUAUUGAGGAGUUUCUACACAUAAAUGAUUACAAAGUAAUGAUCUCAUGCAGUGACCUGGACCACGCUGGAGCGAAACCAGAUCACACGUGACCACGUGGGUCAUCUGUUCCAUCAGCUGCUGCAGGCUGGGAUCCUCUCCACAUCUCAGUUUUUUAAAGGGUUCUCAGAAACCCUCGAGAUAGCAGAUGAUAUGGCGAUUGACAUUCCUUAUGUAUGGCAGUACAUAGCGGAGCUCGUUAAUCCUGUGCUUCGGGAAGGAGGAAUCUCUUUGAGAUAAUUAUUAAUAGCCAAAAGGAAGUGGAGGUCUUAUGGAGGGACUCUAAACUGAGCUGUGCUGAUUUUCUUCCUGAAACCGUGGAUGGGAAUUUCAUUUGUUAGUAUAAGAACAUUGUCAGUGAACUCAAAUGGCAGCUCGUCUGAUCAGAAAAGAGAAAAGUGUUUGUGUUUGUGGUGUAAAAAGCAGUGUGUUGGUUGGUAGACUUGAUGCAGUUUUAUUUCUAAACCAGCACAAAUGCUG
Molecule: long non-coding RNA, 1138 nt
Organism: Silurus meridionalis
Lineage: Eukaryota; Metazoa; Chordata; Actinopteri; Siluriformes; Siluridae
Exons: 7
Source: RefSeq, a predicted model, not a curated record